CCUACGGGAGGCAGCAGUGAGGAAUAUUGGUCAAUGGACGAGAGUCUGAACCAGCCAAGUAGCGUGAAGGAUGACUGCCCUAUGGGUUGUAAACUUCUUUUAUAUGGGAAUAAAAUGUUCCACGUGUGGGAUUUUGUAUGUACCAUAUGAAUAAGGAUCGGCUAACUCCGUGCCAGCAGCCGCUGUAAUACGGAGGAUCCGAGCGUUAUCCGGAUUUAUUGGGUUUAAAGGGAGCGUAGGUGGAUUGUUAAGUCAGUUGUGAAAGUUUGCGGCUCAACCGUAAAAUUGCAGUUGAAACUGGCAGUCUUGAGUACAGUAGAGGUGGGCGGAAUUCGUGGUGUAGCGGUGAAAUGCUUAGAUAUCACGAAGAACUCCGAUUGCGAAGGCAGUUCACUGGACUGCAACUGACACUGAGGCUCGAAAGUAUGGGUAUCAAACAGGAUUAGAUACCCUUGUAGUC
RNAcentral lists this ribosomal RNA (460 nucleotides) under uncultured bacterium. RNAcentral's name for it is "partial 16S ribosomal RNA". It matches the Rfam family "Bacterial small subunit ribosomal RNA", at positions 338 to 795 of the family's 1533-position model. The record is from RNAcentral.